This 253-nucleotide ribosomal RNA is filed under the name Dorea longicatena. RNAcentral's name for it is "partial 16S ribosomal RNA". It matches the Rfam family "Bacterial small subunit ribosomal RNA", at positions 524 to 776 of the family's 1533-position model. The record is from RNAcentral. Lineage: Bacteria; Bacillati; Bacillota; Clostridia; Lachnospirales; Lachnospiraceae.
UACGUAGGGGGCAAGCGUUAUCCGGAUUUACUGGGUGUAAAGGGAGCGUAGACGGCACGGCAAGCCAGAUGUGAAAGCCCGGGGCUCAACCUCGGGACUGCAUUUGGAACUGCUGAGCUAGAGUGUCGGAGAGGCAAGUGGAAUUCCUAGUGUAGCGGUGAAAUGCGUAGAUAUUAGGAGGAACACCAGUGGCGAAGGCGGCUUGCUGGACGAUGACUGACGUUGAGGCUCGAAAGCGUGGGGAGCAAACAGG